Molecule: ribosomal RNA, 403 nt
Filed under: bacterium
Lineage: Bacteria
Description: partial 16S ribosomal RNA
Rfam family: Bacterial small subunit ribosomal RNA
Source: RNAcentral
UGGGGAAUAUUGCACAAUGGAGGGAACUCUGAUGCAGCGACGCCGCGUGAACGAAGAAGGCUUUCGAGUCGUAAAGUUCUUUUAUAUGGGAAGAUAAUGAUGGUACCAUAAGAAAAAGCCCCGGCUAACUACGUGCCAGCAGCCGCGGUAAUACGUAGGGGGCUAGCGUUGUCCGGAAUCACUGGGCGUAAAGGGUUCGCAGGCGGAAAUGCAAGUCAGGUGUAAAAGGCAGUAGCUUAACUACUGUAAGCAUUUGAAACUGCAUAUCUUGAGAAGAGUAGAGGUAAGUGGAAUGUUUAGUGUAGCGGUGAAAUGCGUAGAUAUUAAAAAGAAUACCGGUGGCGAAGGCGACUUACUGGGCUCAUUCUGACGCUGAGGAACGAAAGCGUGGGUAGCAAACAGG